RNA transcript from Aricia agestis (brown argus), 1379 nucleotides. It is a transcript of the gene named serine protease inhibitor 77Ba-like, with no coding region annotated. The record is from RefSeq and is a predicted model, not a curated record. Lineage: Eukaryota; Metazoa; Arthropoda; Insecta; Lepidoptera; Lycaenidae. The transcript has 2 exons.
UCUUUUCCAGUACGUACGAGAGAGACAAAUGCAAAGUUGUCACUGACUUGUUUUGUUCGAAUAUAAACCUCUUUGUGUUCACUCAGUGUAUCCGCACGCCAGUGUUUAGUGUUACUCAAAAUGAAGUCCAUACUUCUAUUAAUAUCAUUGAUCGCUUCGGAGUUUUCCCUAACCGAUUUUGGGACACGCGCGAGAGACUUUAGUGUUAAACUUUUAUACAACGUACAAAAUGAAACGGACAGUCACAUGGUUAUGUCCCCGUUCGGAAUAUGGAGUCUCCUAACGGGAAUAGCGAUUGGAACCCAGGGCAGCAGCCAAUUUCAACUGACCGAAGCCCUAAACUUACCUUACAACACCUAUCACAUCGUGCACGGGUACGACAACCUGACAAAAACAGUGCUAGCUCCGGAAACUGGAAGUGUGUCGUUAAUCUCUAAAAACUUUAUGUUCAUCGAUGAAGAUUUGGUGAUUUUCCCCGAAUAUAAGAGCAUAAUGGUGACCCAUUUUAACGCGACGAUUGCGAGCCUCAAUUUCAAGGACCCGGCAUUGGCAGCAAAGAAAGCGAACAGCAUCAUAAAGCAGUCCCGCGCUAGCUCCAAUGAGGUACUAAAGGCUGAAGAUUUCAUGACUUCGAGAUUGAUAGUAACGAAUGCUAUAACUCUGAAAGGAUUAUGGGCGUCGCCUUUCAACGUAUCGGCGACACAAGUGGAACCAUUCUACGACGACAACAAGAGAGUGAUCGGAGAAGUGAAAAUGAUGUACCAGAGGGCACCACUCGCGUUUUCCGUGAUGCAGUCCAUAAAAGCUUCUGUCCUGGAGUUGCCUUACGGUAAUGAUGAGAAGUAUUGUAUGCUCGUUGUGCUCCCGCUGUCGACGUCCAACGUGAAAGAAGUGUUCGAAAAACUAAAGACGACACAACUGUCGGAGAUAUUCAAAACUCUACAGAGCGACGUAGAUGAGUACGGAUUAGAAGAGGUGGACAUAAAAUUGCCGAGAUUUAAGGCGAAUUCGAACAUAAACCUAAACAAGUCGCUGAAGAAAAUGAAUGUCACUCAAAUCUUUGAUCCUACCUUGGCGAGUUUUAGCCGUAUGACAAAAGAGAAUAUAUUUGUCUCUUCCAUAGUCCAUGAAGCCAGCAUUGAGGUGACAGAGACGGGGACAGUGGCAUCAGCUGACACUUCAGCUUAUUUUGCCAAUCGCCAGUCUACACCCAGCUUUGAAGCGAAUCAUCCUUUUAUUUAUUUGAUCAUGGAAAAACCCACUACGACGAUACUUUUCGGAGGCGUUUAUUCAAAACCUUCUAUAUUCUGAUAUUGUGAGAACUUGAUCGGGGAGUUUUUGUUUGUGAUAUCAAAAUAUACUCCCCUACCCUUUUCCCU